Molecule: ribosomal RNA, 448 nt
Filed under: uncultured bacterium
Lineage: Bacteria
Description: partial 16S ribosomal RNA
Rfam family: Bacterial small subunit ribosomal RNA
Source: RNAcentral
AACGAACGCUGGCGGCAGGCUUAACACAUGCAAGUCGAGCGCCCCGCAGGGGCGCGGCGGACGGGUGAGUAACGCGUGGGAACGUGCCCUCCUCUGCGGAAUAGCCCUGGGAAACCGGGGGUAAUAUCGCAUAUGCCCCUCACGGGGGAAAGGUUUACCGGAGAAGGAUCGGCCCGCGUCGGAUUAGGUAGUUGGUGGGGUAAUGGCCUACCAAGCCGACGAUCCGUAGCUGGUUUGAGAGGAUGACCAGCCACACUGGGACUGAGACACGGCCCAGACUCCUACGGGAGGCAGCAGUGGGGAAUCUUGGACAAUGGGGGUAACCCUGAUCCAGCCAUGCCGCGUGAGUGAUGAAGGCCCUAGGGUUGUAAAGCUCUUUCAGCUGGGAAGAUAAUGACGGUACCAGCAGAAGAAGCCCCGGCUAACUCUGUGCCAGCAGCCGCAGUAA